GCUGUGUGUAUCUGGGGGUACAGGAGCACUGUGUCUCGGGGGUGAAGGGGCUGUGUGUAUCUGGGGGUACAGGGGCACUGUGUCUCGGGGGGGGGUGAAGGGGCUGUGUGUAUCUGGGGGUACAGGGGCACUGUGUCUCAGGGGGGUGAAAGGGCUGUGUGUAUCUGGGGGUACAGGGGCACUGUGUCUCGGGGGGGGGUGAAGGGGCUGUGUGUAUCUGGGGGUACAGGGGCACUGUGUCUCUCGGGGGGUACAGGAGCAGUGUGUGUCUCUGGGGAGAUACAGGGUUCUAUGUGUAUCUGGGGGGGUGCAGGGGCGCUGUGUCUCUCUCUGAGGUGGGUGUAGGAGGUUCAGGGGUUGCUGCCUGUG
Gopherus flavomarginatus (Mexican gopher tortoise) is the source of this 369-nucleotide long non-coding RNA. RefSeq lists it as uncharacterized. The record is from RefSeq and is a predicted model, not a curated record. The transcript is spliced from 3 exons. Lineage: Eukaryota; Metazoa; Chordata; Testudines; Testudinidae.